UCCGGCACGCCAUCUUCCUACGUUUGUUUCUUAUUAUUUACACAGUUCUGCAUCUGAACACCCUUUCCUGUACAAGGUAUGGACACGACUAAGUUUUAUUUAUCUAUAUAUACAAUAUGCAAUAUUUUGCUUUCCUCAGCGAAACCGAGCCCCAGUCCAUCAAGUGUUCGUUCAAUUUCGUAUUUCGUUCCUUUUCUCCCAAUUCGUCGUUAUUCAUUCCGUCUCUCUGUCUCUUGCUGAGAAAUGCAUCGACUCUUUUAAUCUCUUAUUUGUUUCAGUCGUUUGACUGCGACCACGCUGGAGCACCGCAUGUAGUCAAACUAAUGGACCCCAAGAUUUAUUCUUUACUAGCUUAGUUCUUAUUCCAUCAGUCUCUUUUGAUGUAAACACACAAGCUUAGGUUGGAGGUACAAACACAGACACACAAACAUAUAUAUAUAUAUAUAUAUACGACGGGUUUCUUUCAGUUUCCAGCUACCAAAUCCACUCACAAGGCUUUGGUCGGCCCGAAGCUAUAAUAGAACACACUUGCCCAAGGUGUCACGCAGUGGGACUGAACCCGGAAGCAUGUGGUUGGUAAAUAAGCUACUUACCACACAUCCAUCAUAUUUUUCUGUCAUUCUUGCCAUCCAAGGAUGGAACAGAGUCUUUCUCUUCCGAUCUCCUUUGAUUUCAAAUGGUUUAUAGAAUAACAAUUUUACUUUUAUUCUACAAAUGCAAAAACGACCACAAUAUUAGUAAUUCUAAGUGAGUGCGUUUUUUUUAAACUAGAGAAUACUGAUUCGAAAGUGAGUACAUUUGAAUAUGUUUUAAUUAGCCAAUAAUAAUAUAUCUUCUAAUCAAGGAGAUAUAACAGGAAAGACUUUAUCUGACGGCGAAUAUAGGGUUUUAGUAUUAUAAACAAGAGAACAGCCCCUCCCCUUUCACCAUUUUUCAUAUAUAAUUAAUCAUUGAAAGACAAGAGUGAUUUCCCUUGUAUAUCUCAGAUUGUGGAUUAAACCACAAAGACCCUGCUCCAUAUAAAUAAAGCUAUGUACUUUUUCACAGCAUACCUAAUGACGAACGUAAUACAAUAUCUUAGUACAGAACGAAUAUUGUGUAGUCUUCAUUAAAAAAUCCGGUACUAGUAUCGUAGAGUGGUCCCGGUUUGCGCAGACGCGCGUCCGCGCUAGCCAGACGUAGGCAGUCGAUCCUACGAGCUGACUGGCGCAUGCACGAUAUAUACUUGUAUCGAUAUAUACGUGUAUACGAUAUAUACUUGUAUAUAUACGAUAUAUACUUGUAUCGCGCGAAUCGGGGACGUGCGAUACAAGUAUAUAUCGUAUACACGUAUAUAUCGCAUAUAUCGUGCAUGCGCCAGUCAGCUCGUAGGAUCGACUGCCUACGUCUGGCUAGCGCGUGUGCGCAAACCGGGACCACUCUACGAUACUAGUACAAAAAAUCCUCAGUGGUCACGCUAUGGCUAAUAUGCAUAGAUGAAAUUACAUGCAUUGCAGUAUCUAGCGUCCAAUGAUAGCAUCGUGCUCCACUAUCUGCUUUGGUAUGGUUUCUACAAUUGGAUGCUCUUUCUUAACACCACAUAGGUUUGCUAUGCAGUUCACAAGACUACUAAGGGAAGUGAGGGCUUUAUGCUAGAGGAUGUAGAUGCAAAGUGUGAGAGCUGGAGGAAUGCAGGUUUUUGAAGUGGAGUUGCAUGGUUAAAACCAUAGAACAUGUUAUUGUUAAUGAGAUAAGCUUUUAAAAGAAAACGAAGGUCAUAGUCUUUGAAAAAUUCUUUGACAAAAAGAAUCUUUUCUAAAGGUUUCCAUUAUCCACAUGACCGUGAAUUUCACAGUGGUGUCCAUUUCCAUAGUAACAAGCAAAACUGUAGUCUGCCCCUGUUUUCAUUGUAACAAAGACGCGUUGUACUUAGCACGACUGUGACACGUUCAUCACCACAAGUUUUGAUGAGCGAUAUCAUUUUGUGCCUGGGCCAUUUCUGUCGAUUUCUAAUAGACAGCUAUCACACAGAAAAUGCAAGCUUCCUAUUCCUGUUUUCUGACUGGAAUAAAAAUGAUCAAACUUUGAAACUCUGUAACAUUUGUGUAAGUUUUUUUUUUUGUGAACAAACGAGUCCCAAAUUCGGAUUCAGUGUGAAAAAUUGCAUCCAUAUUUCAAAUUCGAAAAAUUUAAAUCGAUUUGAUAAUUUCCAAAUCUGUGGCAGUAGCUGAAAAAAUUUGGUAAAAGUAAUUGAUGCAGGGUCUGUUGUUCUUGAUUUAAUGAUAAGGGAUACUAUGAUACCUGCUGGUGUAGCAAGAGUAUUUGGUCCAUUAUCUCCUCCAUAUCUGUGGUAACACUCAACAAAUUAUGAUAGUGUGUAGCAUCACUAAAUAAAGUGAUUUCCUUUCUCUUUGAAUAAAUCAUUGGCCUCAGUCACAGAUUCUUGAGUUUUACAGAUGUAGUAAUGACUGAUUACAUCAGUGAGUGAUGUUGAUUACUCAUUUGGUUGACAUCACUCAUUUCAGUCAUCCUCAUACCAUUGUUUCUUUGUUCUGGGUGUAUAUAUAUCCUGUCUCUCUUAACAUUUGUUUUCAAUAUCGAUGGUUAAAAAUCUCUUCCUUAAGUGUCAGCAUUAUAUUGUUGCUUCUAUCAUAUUCUCUUUAUAUAUUUCAGGAUUUAUGAUGGCAUCGAGACUUUGAAGACUAAAGAAUGGCAUUACCAAAGAUACAGGGAAUCAUGUUUCACAAAAAUCACAUUGAAGAAACUGUACCCUAAUUUUGAAAAUAAAGAAGAAAAAGAGAAUUAUUUCUCUGUUG
This 2795-nucleotide long non-coding RNA is filed under the name Octopus vulgaris (common octopus). Lineage: Eukaryota; Metazoa; Mollusca; Cephalopoda; Octopoda; Octopodidae. The record is from RNAcentral.